AGGAGGGAAGAUGGUGGCGGCGGCCGCUGGCUGUAUUCAGACGUGCAGCUGGACGUAAUGAAGCUUUCAGUGGAUGUUGCAGCGGUGUGUCAGCAGAGGAAGUUAGUUUCACGAAAUGAUGCAGGUACAAGGUAGACAACAUAUCUUGAAUUACUAAAAAAACGCUGUUUGCGUCAGAGUAAUGU
Non-coding RNA from Sturnus vulgaris (Common starling), 185 nucleotides. The record is from RefSeq and is a predicted model, not a curated record. NCBI's taxonomy places the organism in Eukaryota, Metazoa, Chordata, Aves, Passeriformes, Sturnidae.